GAGGUUGCUGAAUAUGGAUGAAGAAAUAGUUCCCUCAAAAUGAUUGAAAGAAAUAUCUAAAGAAACCAAAGAAAUCAUUCCACCAAGGCAUGGAUCAAGUACACCUUAUAAAAGGUUAUCCUGAAGAUUUAACAUCUGUAGGUUCCCAAGUGUACAGAUUCCUGAAAAGUGUAACAAGUAGUUAAUAUCCAGAAAAAAUAUAACUUUGUUAUGCAAAAUUUUAGCACCCAAUUUCACUGUAACACGAUCAGUAAAAGUAAAGAUGCAUAAUGUUCAUUCUAUAAUCUGCCAAGACUGGGAGUCAACAACUCAGCUUUACUAGACAAAACACAUGAAGGGCAGCCCAAUGCACUAAACCUCCCGUUAUGUGUAGGGCUCAGAUGAAAAAUACCAUAUGAAAACAACAAGAAAAAGAGGUGACACUACAAAGUAAAAUGUCCCAUUAUUGUGGUUAAGUUUAAGCCAAGAUGGAACUUAGAAUAAUUGUGAUUCAGGUAUCGUUAAAUGAAAAGAAACUAGGAGAACCCCUGAUAUUGUUAUGUGAAAUAUCUACUUUCAAGCGUUGAGUGCUUUUCAAAGAGGUAGGUUGGUGUGCUUCCAUCAUCAAGAAAAUUAUCACUCAAAUCCAACCUUUUGAGAUUCCACAGUCUACAUAACGAUGCAAGAAAUUUAUAAAGAAACUAAAGGGUUAUUUUUUGUCAAGUUCAUUAAUCAUAGUAAAAAUUGAUUUUCAUAUUCAUCAGAAUAAUCUGAAAACUCAACUCCAGGAAAUAUAUAGUUCAUACUUGCUAUCUUAUGCUGGCGCAAAGGUUGUUAAGGGAAAUUAGAAAAAGCUACAGAGUAGAACUUCGUUUAGACCAUGUUAUUUAUCGAAGAAAAACUCUUUAGAUAUACCACAAAAAUCAUGACGAUUACUAGUUCUGGUAGUCGAUUCAAAACUUUUCAAAUUUUACCAAAACUUGGUUCCAGUAUUCUCAACCGUAAUGCAAGCAUCACUAUGGAACUCUCCUAUAUUUUCAAUACUAGUUCUUUUCAUAAUGAAAAUGCUAGAAUACGGACCAAACUCCUGAGUUUCAGGAAUAUAAAUAUUUGCAAUAUUUAUAACCACUACGAUGGAUAAUAGUAGUAGCGGCAAGGAGAAGUUGCAGGUUAAACUAAAUAUUUCAAGUUUUAGAAUAGUAAUUCCUACUAGAUGCUUGUGCCCUUACUUACAUCUAGAUAUCAAUGUGGAAAAACCUUAGAACUAAAAAGAGAACAAUUCAUCAGGAAAGAAUUCGUAUUCUCAAUAUUCCACUUUCCCUUUACGAAUAAAUCAGAAUCCAUAAUACCAAAACUAUACCACUAUAAAAUAAACAAGAAAAUAACGAACUACAUGGUUAGUUAAAAAAGACACAUUAGAAGAUUCUCAUACAAGCACCAAAAAUGGGGAGAGCAGGCAUCUAUAGUAACAGUUAUUUGCAGAAUAGUACAAACACUACCAGACUUCAAAUGUAAAUCCCCAACCACCCUACCCCCCACUCCCCUCCAAAAAAAUAUAUCAAGGACAUGAUCUCUGUGGGAAUGAAAAGGAAUUCCAUGUCAACUAAUGUUACCAUUGUAUUAAUAACAAUAACGAGGUGGGAAGAACGCCUGUAAUUUACAUAGUUUCAUUAGAUAUGAGUAACCUUAUCUUACUUUAUAAAGAUCUUUUCACACAUUUUAUACAUGAAUGAACUAUGAAUAUACAAAUUAGGCAGGUUAUCAUACCUAUUGAUUCCAUAGACAAAAAAAGAAAUAAAAUUUUGAUCUAAACCAGAUCUCUUAACCAAUUCUUUUGGAAAUAAUAUUGCGGUGAUAUUUAAAACCUCUGAAACUUCAAAUUGGUGUAAUCACAAAGUAGUAUAAAAAAUUACCUAAAAAUAAACUUCACAUAUAGCCAUUCAAACUAAAUGCAUCAAUUAAAGGACAUAUAUAGGACUAAUAAAAAGGAAGAAGAAAAGAAAACCUAACUUAAUAGAAUUCUUUUGAGAAUUCUAGCUACCCAAGUUAAUCAGUUUAUAACAAGAAAGUUUGGCGUAGAAUUUCCUGAGGAGUUGGGACUUAAUGAGGCACGGUAAGGCUAAAAUUAAUGAAGCUUAGUGUAUCUUGGUGAAGCUAGGCUUAGCGAGACUUAAUGGAGCUUAGCAAGGCAAGGUAAAGCCAGGAAAAUUUUAGCGAGGCUUAGUGAGGAUAGGCUGAAAGGGGUUAUCGAAGCACUAAUAUUAUUGUAGUUUAUACUUGAUAAAAAAUCAUUUGAAACAACCACAUUUCUAUACCAGCGGAAACACUGAGAAGAGAAAUCUUGUUUAUUCCAGCUCUUAUCUUUACAUUGCCACUGUAUGUAAGUUUUGGAUUAUCUAAUGCCCCAUAUAUAGUUCCUACCCAAAAUUCCAUGAUACAUAGAAAUUAAGAGAUGCACAGACUAAGAAAAUUUAGUUUGUUAGGAAAAAUCAUGUUUUCAUAGUCCCAAAUAAAGUGGUUUUUUCGGCUACCUGCUAGUUUUCCAUUGACGAAAACAUGUAAGGAAUGACCAACCAACAUAAUAGUGAGAUAAGGUUCCUUUUGUUCUUUAGAAAUCCUUCAAUUGAUGCUAUAUUUAGCAUCAUAGUUAGAUAGGAAUGUAACACAAGCUCCAGAUUUUGAUCAAUAGACAUGAGCCUAUGUUGGUCACAAAAAUUAUGUACAGCGUUGAACAAAUAUCAUGAUGAUUACAAUGACAUAUUGAGUGGUGGAACCAGGAACAAGACAAAUGCCAGGAAUCACUGUCUUCUCCAUGCUAAACCAUAAAUAAAUUUUCAUUAUAUCCACAUAACGGAAUAAAAUGGCAGGUGGAACCAGGAAUAAGCCAGAGUAGCAUAGGAUUUCAUAUGAGUAAUAAAUAGAAACAAAUAUUUAUUGCAUGUUAAAUUAAAAUCAGACAAACAAACUAAUUGAAAUUAAGAGAAUAGUAGAAAUCAAGUAGCUUACACUAUGUGAUGAUUGUUCUAAAGGAUGGUAUAGUCGUGGAAAUCCAGUGUUG
RNAcentral lists this long non-coding RNA (3037 nucleotides) under Capsicum annuum. Its description in RNAcentral is "long non-coding RNA (CANN_LNC014500)". The record is from RNAcentral. Lineage: Eukaryota; Viridiplantae; Streptophyta; Magnoliopsida; Solanales; Solanaceae.